Molecule: unclassified non-coding RNA, 247 nt
Filed under: plant metagenome
Description: partial contains 5.8S ribosomal RNA, internal transcribed spacer 2, and large subunit ribosomal RNA
Source: RNAcentral
GACCGUCAUAUCGUUGUUCAAGAAGGCUACGUAUCGACCUUGGGCCAUUCCAAGCCCUUCGUUCAGGCCGAAUAUGUACGUAUUGGAUGGGAGCGCCACGACUCUCACUGUCGGGAAAAGCUCAGCCAACUUCCCCGUCGUCCCAUCCGUGGACCCGUUGUCGACGACUAUAAUCUCGUCCUCGCUCGACGCGGCGUUCAACAGGCUCCGUAUGCACGGCUCUAGCAAAUCCCAUCCAUCAUAGGUC